GACGAACGCUGGCGGCGUGCUUAACACAUGCAAGUCGAACGGUGAAGCGCCUUCCUUUUUGGUGGGUGUGGAUGAGUGGCGAACGGGUGAGUAACACGUGAGUAACCUGCCCCCUUCUUCUGGAUAACCGCAUGAAAGUGUGGCUAAUACGGGAUAUUCUGGGUCUGUCGCAUGAUGGGUCUGGGAAAGAUAUUGUUUCGGUGGGGGAUGGGCUCGCGGCCUAUCAGCUUGUUGGUGGGGUGAUGGCCUACCAAGGCGGUGACGGGUAGCCGGCCUGAGAGGGGGGACGGCCACACGGGGACUGAGACACGGCCCAGACUCCUACGGGAGGCAGCAGUGGGGAAUAUUGCACAAUGGGCGCAAGCCUGAUGCAGCGACGCCGCGUGAGGGAUGGAGGCCUUCGGGUUGUGAACCUCUUUCGCCAGUGAAGCAGGCCUGCCUCGUUUGUGGGUGGGUUGACGGUAGCUGGAUAAGAAGCGCCGGCUAACUACGUG
This 494-nucleotide ribosomal RNA is filed under the name uncultured bacterium. Its description in RNAcentral is "partial 16S ribosomal RNA". It matches the Rfam family "Bacterial small subunit ribosomal RNA", at positions 28 to 507 of the family's 1533-position model. The record is from RNAcentral.